Molecule: small nucleolar RNA, 209 nt
Filed under: Colletotrichum salicis
Lineage: Eukaryota; Fungi; Ascomycota; Sordariomycetes; Glomerellales; Glomerellaceae
Description: Fungal small nucleolar RNA U3
Rfam family: Fungal small nucleolar RNA U3
About the family: Small nucleolar RNAs (snoRNAs) are involved in the processing and modification of rRNA in the nucleolus. There are two main classes of snoRNAs: the box C/D class, and the box H/ACA class.
Source: Rfam by way of RNAcentral
CUACAGAUCCCACCCUGGUUGAUGAUUGAUAUCCUCGACACCCUAGAGUGAAGAACUCUGGUUGCCCUCGCACUUUCCGCAAGGAAAGCGGUGAAUUCCUCCCUUUGGGAGGGUCCACUGUAUAGAGGACGGUGAUGAUCUCGUCCCCUUUCUCGGUCUUGCCUUUUGGGCGCGUGGAAGGGGUGGGUGUCGAUGGACGUCUGACAGGC